Long non-coding RNA from Panicum virgatum (switchgrass), 894 nucleotides. RefSeq lists it as uncharacterized. The transcript is spliced from 2 exons. The record is from RefSeq and is a predicted model, not a curated record. Lineage: Eukaryota; Viridiplantae; Streptophyta; Magnoliopsida; Poales; Poaceae.
CCAGUGCAUGCUGUAUGUUUCCCUAACAUCUCCAACUCAAUUCAUUUCUCAUCCGAGUCAUUUCAUUGGCAGUUUCAGGUACUAUCAGCAGCUCAACACAAGUUCCAUCGCAGAGCGGAGAUCUUCUGUUCUUUAUUUCAACGAACCAGCAUGGGAUUGUGCCGAUUUCGUCUAAGAAGUAGAGAACGAAGCAGAGAUAUCUGUUGAAGAUAGAUCAAGGACGCGACAGUUGAACAGUGCCUCGCGUCGAAAAAAUACCUUCGUUGAUGUUUCGGGAUUUGUGCUUGGUUGGAGUCUUGUCCCCUCCUGGGAUUAUUCUCUCAGUCGUCUUGGCUUUGUAGGCCAGAUGUGUUCUUAGGACUGGAGUUGUGCGUUUGACAUUGAUGCAACAAGGCGGUGGCAGAAUCUGUGCUCCGAGUCGGUGUGAGGCAAAGACACCUGACCCAAGCCGUUCAUGUUUUUUUGCUUGCCAAAAAUGGGGCCGUCUAUUGACUAGACAUUUCUGGGAAGAGAAGCCUCAGGUGAAUGGGAUUCUAAUUGUGCAGUCGAAGAAUUAGAUGCAGAUUUGCGGAUAAAAAUCUCGUGAUUGGGCCUGGGAGGAAGUCGGACACCGAAAUGGAGAUAAUUAGAAUGCGUUUGCAUUUUUAGAAAUGUAGCGAAAAGAAGGUGGUGUCCGGCCGGCAGACACAAUGAGAAAGCUAGCACUUUCUGGUUAUGGAACAGCUUCUAAUUCUUAUCAGCUGGAGGUGCUUCCUAACAUGGUACUUUUCGACACAAUGAGCUUGUAAUCAUGCUCGUAUGUUCUGUAUGUGAGGAUACCUGAUUGUCAUGUGGAUAGAAUAACAUGAAGAAAUUCUUUUCACUGGCACAUGAGGGAUUUAUUGCUCUUAUUCA